Molecule: ribosomal RNA, 460 nt
Filed under: uncultured bacterium
Lineage: Bacteria
Description: partial 16S ribosomal RNA
Rfam family: Bacterial small subunit ribosomal RNA
Source: RNAcentral
CCUACGGGAUGCAGCAGUGAGGAAUAUUGGUCAAUGGACGCAAGUCUGAACCAGCCAUGCCGCGUGCAGGAAGACGGCUCUAUGAGUUGUAAACUGCUUUUGUACGAGGGUAACCGCAGAUACGCGUAUCUGUCUGCAAGUAUCGUACGAAUACGGAUCGGCUAACUCCGUGCCAGCAGCCGCGGUAAUACGGAGGAUUCAAGCGUUAUCCGGAUUUAUUGGGUUUAAAGGGUGCGUAGGCGGUCGGAUAAGUUAGAGGUGAAAUCCCGAGGCUCAACUUCGGAAUUGCCUCUGAUACUGUUCGGCUAGAGAGUAGUUGCGGUAGGCGGAAUGUAUGGUGUAGCGGUGAAAUGCUUAGAGAUCAUACAGAACACCGAGUGCGAAGGCAGCUUACCAAGCUACUUCGGACGUUGAGGCACGAAAGCGUGGGGAGCAAACAGGAUUAGAUACCCCAGUAGUC